GACGAACACUGGCGGCGUGCCUAAUACAUGCGAGUUGAGCGCUGAAGGUUGGUACUUGUACCAACUGGAUGAGCAGCGAACGGGUGAGUAACGCGUGGGGAAUCUGCCUUUGAGCGGGGGACAACAUUUGGAAACGAAUGCUAAUACCGCAUAAAAACUUUAAACACAAGUUUUAAGUUUGAAAGAUGCAAUUGCAUCACUCAAAGAUGAUCCCGCGUUGUAUUAGCUAGUUGGUGAGGUAAAGGCUCACCAAGGCGAUGAUACAUAGCCGACCUGAGAGGGUGAUCGGCCACAUUGGGACUGAGACACGGCCCAAACUCCUACGGGAGGCAGCAGUAGGGAAUCUUCGGCAAUGGACGAAAGUCUGACCGAGCAACGCCGCGUGAGUGAAGAAGGGUUUCGGAUCGUAAAACUCGGUUGGUAGAGAAGAACGUUGGUGAGAGUGGAAAGCUCAUCAAGUGACGGUAACUACCCAGAAAGGGACGGCUAACUACGUG
Molecule: ribosomal RNA, 497 nt
Filed under: uncultured bacterium
Lineage: Bacteria
Description: partial 16S ribosomal RNA
Rfam family: Bacterial small subunit ribosomal RNA
Source: RNAcentral